AUGGGGGCGUGUGUGGGUGUCGCCGCACGUAUGAAGGCCAAGGCCCAAUUGGCGGUGGAGGCGGUGCGAUACAGAGAGGUGGUCGUGCUUGUCGCUACUGAAGCAGACGCCGCUGCUGCGGGGGUGUGGGCAUCGUACUGUAGAGGUGAGGUAGAGCUCAUUCGAGAGGAAAUCGACACGGUCUGCUUCUUCGCCAAUUCCAUUUAUGCAGCCCACUUCGGGCAAGGCGAACUUCCGCAUCACCUUCAUCAACUGAGUCUCAUUCUCCAUGGCGAAGAUCUGGGGUGGUGGAAGGAGAACUCGGCUGUGGAUUUGGAGGUUCCUGGUGGAAUUUGUGGAGGAUCUAUGAUCUGA
This 354-nucleotide ribosomal RNA is filed under the name Triticum aestivum (bread wheat). Its description in RNAcentral is "partial small subunit ribosomal RNA". The record is from RNAcentral. Lineage: Eukaryota; Viridiplantae; Streptophyta; Magnoliopsida; Poales; Poaceae.